UAUGGCGAUGACGACUCGGAAAAUUCAAGCUCAACAGACCGUAUUGCAGGUCUCUCUCUCAAGACAAUGUGCCAUU
Salvia splendens (bonfire salvia) is the source of this 76-nucleotide small nucleolar RNA. RefSeq annotates it as small nucleolar RNA Z107/R87. NCBI's taxonomy places the organism in Eukaryota, Viridiplantae, Streptophyta, Magnoliopsida, Lamiales, Lamiaceae. The record is from RefSeq and is a predicted model, not a curated record. The transcript has a single exon.